AUUGAACGCUGGCGGCAGGCCUAACACAUGCAAGUCGAGCGGAUGAAGGGAGCUUGCUCCUGGAUUCAGCGGCGGACGGGUGAGUAAUGCCUAGGAACCUGCCUGGUAGUGGGGGAUAACGUCCGGAAACGGGCGCUAAUACCGCAUACGUCCUGAGGGAGAAAGAGGGGGAUCUUCGGACCUCACGCUAUCAGAUGAGCCUAGGUCGGAUUAGCUAGUUGGUGGGGUAAAGGCCUACCAAGGCGACGAUCCGUAACUGGUCUGAGAGGAUGAUCAGUCACACUGGAACUGAGACACGGUCCAGACUCCUACGGGAGGCAGCAGUGGGGAAUAUUGGACAAUGGGCGAAAGCCUGAUCCAGCCAUGCCGCGUGUGGGAAGAAGGUCUUCGGAUUUUAGAGCUCUUUAAGUUGGGAGGAAGGGCAGUAAGUUAAUACCUUGCUGUUUUGACGUUACCAACAGAAUAAGCACCGGCUAACUUCGUG
RNAcentral lists this ribosomal RNA (484 nucleotides) under uncultured bacterium. RNAcentral describes it as "partial 16S ribosomal RNA". It matches the Rfam family "Bacterial small subunit ribosomal RNA", at positions 30 to 507 of the family's 1533-position model. The record is from RNAcentral.